This 497-nucleotide ribosomal RNA is filed under the name uncultured bacterium. Its description in RNAcentral is "partial 16S ribosomal RNA". It matches the Rfam family "Bacterial small subunit ribosomal RNA", at positions 28 to 507 of the family's 1533-position model. The record is from RNAcentral.
GAUGAACGCUGGCGGCGUGCCUAAUACAUGCAAGUCGAGCGAACAGACGAGGAGCUUGCUCCUCUGACGUUAGCGGCGGACGGGUGAGUAACACGUGGAUAACCUACCUAUAAGACUGGGAUAACUUCGGGAAACCGGAGCUAAUACCGGAUAAUAUAUUGAACCGCAUGGUUCAAUAGUGAAAGACGGUUUUGCUGUCACUUAUAGAUGGAUCCGCGCCGCAUUAGCUAGUUGGUAAGGUAACGGCUUACCAAGGCAACGAUGAGUAGCCGACCUGAGAGGGUGAUCGGCCACACUGGAACUGAGACACGGUCCAGACUCCUACGGGAGGCAGAAGUAGGGAAUCUUCCGCAAUGGGCGAAAGCCUGACGGAGCAACGCCGCGUGAGUGAUGAAGGUCUUCGGAUAGUAAAACUCUGUUAUUAGGGAAGAACAAAUGUGUAAGUAACUAUGCACGUCUUGACGGUACCUAAUCAGAAAGCCACGGCUAACUACGUG